CUUCAGGAAACUUUCUAGAGCUGAACUGAAGUGAAUAAGCAUCUAAUCCAUAGUCUUCUUCAUAAUUGAAUUCCUUUUCAAGGUUCUUUCCAAAUCUGGCUUUGUUGUUGCUGGGAUUGGUAAAAUUUCGGUGACAAGCAAGUCCCAAGUUCCAGAAGACAAAAGAUUGGGAAUACUUAUUGAGAAUGCAGUUGGGAAGAGGCAAAUGAAGGAGAGCAUCUUCAGAGAAGAGAGACACACAUGGAACUUUGUCAGACCUCCAUCUCUGAUUGGGGGGCUCAGAGCUAAAGAAGAGAGAGAAUUGGCUUCUUGGGUCCCUGUUAUUUUGUAUGUAUGUGUCAUGUAUCUGUUCAGAAGUCUUCUAAAGUUUGUGAA
Long non-coding RNA from Monodelphis domestica (gray short-tailed opossum), 375 nucleotides. RefSeq lists it as uncharacterized. The record is from RefSeq and is a predicted model, not a curated record. NCBI's taxonomy places the organism in Eukaryota, Metazoa, Chordata, Mammalia, Didelphimorphia, Didelphidae.